CAAGCCUCUUCAUGUCCCUGCCUAAUUCCCUCGCCUCGCUGGAAAGGGGAACGUCUUCCUUGAAGUUUGCUUCCAGAGGAGCAGCCGAGCCAGGGCCCUGCGGCAGCCUCCCGCUCUCCCGCGCCAUCGCCGCGCUCGAGGUCAUCGACAAAGGCACGAGGAACAGCCUUCGUUGCGCUGCAGCCCUUUGACAGCAGCUCCUGACCGCCAGCAUUAAUGAUAUCCACCCAAUUAGCCGCUGCGAGCUCUGCCUAGCCCGAAGGAUUAGCAAACGAAAUCAUCAACCCAAGGCACAUAACCCACCGGAGCAUCCCCAGGAGCAUGUGCAGCUCACUCCAGGCACGAUGCACGUGUGGAUGUCAGGGGGACCAGGACGACUCCAAUGUGCUAUCAACAGUUGAUCCAACAUGAAGAGCCCCGGGCAUCCCCAGUGCAGGCAGGACACCCCUCCUGCCCGCCCUGGGACCCUCUCUCAGGCGCCGGCAGGACCAAGCACCGCAGCUAGAUCUACCCUCCCCGUGCCAGCUCUGGAGGGCGAUUGUCCCUGAGCAAUGUCCCGUCAAACACCGAAAGCACAAAGUGAGUCUUUCUUAAGCACUGGAUGUUCCUGUUCGUCCCAUGGUCCUGGAAAUCCCUCUUAAAUCAUUGCCAGAGUCUUGGCCUCCACGACAUCCUGUGGCGAAGGACUGCACGGGCCAACGGAGUGUUGGGCACAAAGGAUUUCCUUUGAAAUGUGUUUGACAUUUUCAUUUUCAUUGCCUGCCUCCUCUGCCUGCGAUAGAAGAGAUGGGGAAUGGCCGGAGGGCAGCCCCUGAUCUGCCCCCAUGCCCCCUCAGCUCCAGGGAUUUAAUGAAAAUGAGACCAGGUCGGGCAAAGAGGUUCCCAGUAGCAACAGCUGCAAUAGCACAACCUCCUAUUAGACACCAGAGAAUCCACACAGACAAGCAGCAUCCUUCAGGCACCUCCACCUCUCCUUGGCUUAAAGCCCUGGACCGCAGCCUGGGGGUCCCAGUUCACCUCCCCGUGGCUGUAGGGCAGUGCCCGGGAGCCUACCUCCUCCCCGCACACCCCGGGGGGUCCCGCAGGACGCCCCGGUGCCAUGGGGCGGCUGUCCCGUAACGUGGCUUUCACUGGGACUGUGCUUGCGGGGCUGG
This is a long non-coding RNA of Gavia stellata (red-throated loon), 1154 nucleotides long. RefSeq lists it as uncharacterized. The transcript has 3 exons. The record is from RefSeq and is a predicted model, not a curated record. NCBI's taxonomy places the organism in Eukaryota, Metazoa, Chordata, Aves, Gaviiformes, Gaviidae.